This is a long non-coding RNA of Haplochromis burtoni (Burton's mouthbrooder), 760 nucleotides long. RefSeq lists it as uncharacterized. NCBI's taxonomy places the organism in Eukaryota, Metazoa, Chordata, Actinopteri, Cichliformes, Cichlidae. The transcript has a single exon. The record is from RefSeq and is a predicted model, not a curated record.
AUGAAACCUCAGAGCUGGCUCAGAAGGAACUGGCUGUGGGCUGUCUCUGGUGCCUUUGUGACUAUCCACCUGGCUACAUGGAUAAUGCAGAGAACUAUGAAGAGCGUGGUGCGCUCUGAGGUUGCAGUCAAAAAGAAAACUGUUGAAGGGAGACCAGACUGAUUUUUAUUGAAGUCCCUGGAAUGAUGGAAGGAUAGAAAUCAGCCUCCAGACGACUGUGCCCCACAUUAACUGAUAAAGACUGUACUCUAUCCAUCCACAUCCACUUGAGAAUGUCAAGUUUGAAACGAUUGCUGUAAAAAAUCAGUUUUGUUGGACAGUUUGACACUUUUCUUGAGUUAGUUAAAAAUAAAUUGAUGUUUCAAGUUGUGAUUUAAAGUAAUUAAGAACAUGGAAAUGUAUAUUUCAAUAAAAUAAAUGUCGUGAUUAAGACUUUUUUUAUGUUGAUUUAAAGGGUGGACUUACUCAGCUUCACAGUGUAUUGUUGGAAGAUUGUAUUUAUUUCUUCAUGUUAACCAAUUCAGUUUAAACACCUAAAAUUAUAGAUAUCAGUGCUGCUAACAAGAAUUAUCUUAAACUAAAGCACGAAUAGUCAAAUUUUAUUUCAACUGGGGCAGACACUUAAAACCACAGUAUUAAUACUGUGUUAAAAAUGUAUCCAAAAAUGAUUUGUUUCUUGUCAUUAAGAAAAAAACAUUGUUUCAUUAAAUGUGAUUGUUUUCAUAUCCAUAUCAAAUAAAUCUGUUGGAAUCUCCCCUUA